RNAcentral lists this small nucleolar RNA (244 nucleotides) under Pseudomonas putida KT2440. Its description in RNAcentral is "Xoo8 ncRNA". The record is from RNAcentral. Lineage: Bacteria; Pseudomonadati; Pseudomonadota; Gammaproteobacteria; Pseudomonadales; Pseudomonadaceae.
AACCCUCAGGAUGACCUGGACUACCUCGAUAUCCCGGCAUUCCUGCGUCGUCAGGCUGAUUAAUGGAAUUUAUCAGGGGUAUAAAGGUGAUUGGUAUUCAUCAAAGGUUGGGUCUGUUAUCAUCCCCAGCCUUUGUUGAUACCUGUUCGCAAUUUGCGCUGAAGCGGCCAAUGCCAUGAUUAAACAACGCACCCUGAAGAAUACCAUCCGUGCCACAGGUGUCGGUCUGCACUCCGGGGAGAAG